Molecule: ribosomal RNA, 253 nt
Filed under: uncultured bacterium
Lineage: Bacteria
Description: partial 16S ribosomal RNA
Rfam family: Bacterial small subunit ribosomal RNA
Source: RNAcentral
UACAGGGGGGGCAAGCGUUGUUCGGAAUUACUGGGCGUAAAGGGCCAGUAGGCGGCCAACUAAGUCACACGUGAAAUCCCCAGGCUUAACCUGGGAACUGCGUGUGAUACUGGAUGGCUUGAAUUCGGGAGAGGGAUGCAGAAUUCCAGGUGUAGCGGUGAAAUGCGUAGAUAUCUGGAGGAACACCGGUGGCGAAGGCGGCAUUCUGGACCGACAUUGACGCUGAGGAGCGAAAGCCAGGGGAGCAAACGGG